This 428-nucleotide ribosomal RNA is filed under the name bacterium. Its description in RNAcentral is "partial 16S ribosomal RNA". It matches the Rfam family "Bacterial small subunit ribosomal RNA", at positions 355 to 776 of the family's 1533-position model. The record is from RNAcentral.
UAGGGAAUCUUCGGCAAUGGGGGCAACCCUGACCGAGCAACGCCGCGUGAGUGAAGAAGGUUUUCGGAUCGUAAAGCUCUGUUGUAAGAGAAGAACGUGUGUGAGAGUGGAAAGUUCACACAGUGACGGUAACUUACCAGAAAGGGACGGCUAACUACGUGCCAGCAGCCGCGGUAAUACGUAGGUCCCGAGCGUUGUCCGGAUUUAUUGGGCGUAAAGCGAGCGCAGGCGGUUUAAUAAGUCUGAAGUUAAAGGCAGUGGCUUAACCAUUGUUCGCUUUGGAAACUGUUAAACUUGAGUGCAGAAGGGGAGAGUGGAAUUCAUGUGUAGCGGUGAAAUGCGUAGAUAUAUGGAGGAACACCGGUGGCGAAAGCGGCUCUCUGGUCUGUAACUGACGCUGAGGCUCGAAAGCGUGGGGAGCAAACAGG